AACCUCCACAAUGUGAGAAAUCGCGACGGGGGGAUCCCAAGUGCCAUUCUUAACGGGAUGGCUUUUCAUUAGUGUAAAGAGCUUUUGGAAUAAGGGCUGGGCAAGACCGGUGCCAGCCGCCGCGGUAACACCGGCAGCUCUAGUGGUAGCAGUUUUUAUUGGGCCUAAAGCGUCCGUAGCCGGUUUAAUAAGUCUCUGGUGAAAUCCUGUAGCUUAACUGUGGGAAUUGCUGGAGAUACUAUUAGACUUGAGACCGGGAGAGGUUAGAGGUACUCCCAGGGUAGAGGUGAAAUUCUGUAAUCCUGGGAGGACCGCCUGUUGCGAAGGCGUCUAACUGGAACGGUUCUGACGGUGAGGGACGAAAGUUAGGGGCGCGAACCGGAUUAGAUACCCGGGUAGUCCUAACUGUAAACGAUGCGGACUUGGUGUUGGGGUGGCUUUGAGCUGCUCCAGUGCCGAAGGGAAGCUGUUAAGUCCGCCGCCUGGGAAGUACGGUCGCAAGACUGAAACUUAAAGGAAAU
This 521-nucleotide ribosomal RNA is filed under the name uncultured bacterium. RNAcentral describes it as "bacterial SSU rRNA". It matches the Rfam family "Archaeal small subunit ribosomal RNA", at positions 345 to 866 of the family's 1478-position model. The record is from RNAcentral.